GUCCACGCCCUAAACGAUGCGAACUAGUCGUUGGGGGAGCAAUCCCUUAGUGACGCAGCUAACGCGUGAAGUUCGCCGCCUGGGGGAGUACGGUCGCAAGAUUAAAACUCAAAGGAAUUGACGGGGGCCCGCACAAGCGGUGGAUGAUGUGGAUUAAUUCGAUGCAACGCGAAAAACCUUACCUACCCUUGACAUGUCAGGAACCCUGAUGAAAGUUGGGGGUGCUCGAAAGAGAACCUGAACACAGGUGCUGCAUGGCUGUCGU
RNAcentral lists this ribosomal RNA (265 nucleotides) under uncultured bacterium. RNAcentral describes it as "partial 16S ribosomal RNA". It matches the Rfam family "Bacterial small subunit ribosomal RNA", at positions 793 to 1055 of the family's 1533-position model. The record is from RNAcentral.